Molecule: ribosomal RNA, 267 nt
Filed under: uncultured bacterium
Lineage: Bacteria
Description: partial 16S ribosomal RNA
Rfam family: Bacterial small subunit ribosomal RNA
Source: RNAcentral
ACGUAGGGCGCAGCGUUGUCCGGAAUUAUUGGGCGUAAAGAGCUCGUAGGCGGUUUGUCGCGUCUGCUGUGAAAGCCCGGGGCUCAACCCCGGGUCUGCAGUGGGUACGGGCAGACUAGAGUGCAGUAGGGGAGACUGGAAUUCCUGGUGUAGCGGUGAAAUGCGCAGAUAUCAGGAGGAACACCGAUGGCGAAGGAGAGUCUGUGUGUUACUGACGCUGAGGAGCGAAAGCAUGGGGAGCGAACAGGAUUAGAUACCCGGGUAGUC